GGAGGAAAAGAAACCAACAGGGAUUGCCUUAGUAGCGGCGAGUGAAGCGGCAAAAGCUCAAAUUUGAAAUCUGGCACUUUCAGUGUCCGAGUUGUAAUUUGAAGAAGGUAUCUUUGGGUCUGGCUCUUGUCUAUGUUUCUUGGAACAGAACGUCACAGAGGGUGAGAAUCCCGUGCGAUGAGAUGACCCAGACCUAUGUAAAGUUCCUUCGAAGAGUCGAGUUGUUUGGGAAUGCAGCUCUAAGUGGGUGGUAAAUUCCAUCUAAAGCUAAAUAUUGGCGAGAGACCGAUAGCGAACAAGUACAGUGAUGGAAAGAUGAAAAGAACUUUGAAAAGAGAGUGAAAAAGUACGUGAAAUUGUUGAAAGGGAAGGGCUUGAGAUCAGACUUGGUAUUUUGUAUGUUACUCUCUCGGGGGUGGCCUCUACAGUUUACCGGGCCAGCAUCAGUUUGGGCGGUAGGACAAUUGCAAAGAAAUGUGGCACUGCCUCGGUAGUGUGUUAUAGUCUUUGUCGAUACUGCCAGCCUAGACUGAGGACUGCGGCUUCGGCCUAGGAUGUUGGCAUAAUGAUCUUAAGUCGCCC
This 582-nucleotide ribosomal RNA is filed under the name Lodderomyces orthopsilosis. RNAcentral's name for it is "eukaryotic LSU rRNA". It matches the Rfam family "Eukaryotic large subunit ribosomal RNA", at positions 52 to 650 of the family's 3401-position model. Lineage: Eukaryota; Fungi; Ascomycota; Pichiomycetes; Serinales; Debaryomycetaceae. The record is from RNAcentral.